UCCGUGCGUGUGGUGUUUGGGCUCCUGGUCCAUUUCAAUCGCUCAGUGGGUACUCUGGGCCAGUGACAAGAAAAUUCCGUGUUUCGGGUUUUCUCAUUCGAGCCGCCUACAAUUCUACGGUACUUUUUUUUUCUCCCGCGUCGCGUUUGUUAGAAGCCUAACGAAGCCUAAAGAAGGUUAGUAGCUGCUUUGACGUAUAGUAUAUUCCACAUCCGAUUUUCCUGUUGCAGGGGAGAUUUGUGAUGGUCUAAAAACGAAAAGUAGGGGAAAGGGGGAAAAGGGGACGGAUGCUGUCUGGUAGAGUUGUUACUUGCUGCCACUGCCAGGUGAUCCAAGAGUAUUAGCAGACCUGUUUUGCUUUGGCGAAUUCACUUAUAACAUGCUCCCGGCAUGCGAGAAGUGACAACUGAUUUUGAGUUUCGAGUUGAAAUCUGAGAAGGAAAAUGCAGAGAUCAGAUUGUCUGACCCUCUGCAAUACCAAUCAAUUGUUGACGCUGAGUGGAACAUUAUUUAUGAUAAACUGGAUAAAUGUGUGAAAAGUGGAGCAAAGAUAGUUCUGUCUCGGCUAGCUAUUGGUGAUCUUGCAACACAGUAUUUUGCAGAUCGAGACAUUUUAUGUGCUCGCCGUGUCACUGAAGAAGAUUUGCAACGUGUUGCUGCAGCAACUGGUGGAACUGUUCAAACUUCUGUAAAUAAUGUCAUCAAUGAUGUA
This is a long non-coding RNA of Zea mays, 712 nucleotides long. RefSeq lists it as uncharacterized. The record is from RefSeq and is a predicted model, not a curated record. The transcript has 3 exons. NCBI's taxonomy places the organism in Eukaryota, Viridiplantae, Streptophyta, Magnoliopsida, Poales, Poaceae.